Molecule: ribosomal RNA, 440 nt
Filed under: uncultured bacterium
Lineage: Bacteria
Description: partial 16S ribosomal RNA
Rfam family: Bacterial small subunit ribosomal RNA
Source: RNAcentral
CCUACGGGUGGCAGCAGUAGGGAAUAUUGCACAAUGGGGGAAACCCUGAUGCAGCAACGCCGCGUGGGGGAAGAAGGUUUUCGGAUUGUAAACCUCUAUUGUUAGAGAAGAAAAUGACGGUACCUAACGAAUAAGCACCGGCUAACUACGUGCCAGCAGCCGCGGUAAUACGGAGGGGGCAAGCGUUACCCGGAUUGACUGGGCGUAAAGGGCGCGUAGGCGGGAUUGCAAGUCUGGUGUGAAAUCCGGUGGCUCAACCACAGGACUGCAUUGGAAACUGUACGGCUGGAGUGCAGGAGAGGUAAGUGGAAUUCCUAGUGUAGCGGUGAAAUGCGUAGAGAUUAGGAGGAACACCAGUGGCGAAGGCGGCUUUCUGGACCGUAACUGACGCUGAGGCUCGAAAGCGUGGGGAGCAAACAGGAUUAGAUACCCUAGUAGUC